RNA transcript from Gallus gallus (chicken), 2805 nucleotides. RefSeq lists it as uncharacterized. The transcript has 2 exons. The record is from RefSeq and is a predicted model, not a curated record. NCBI's taxonomy places the organism in Eukaryota, Metazoa, Chordata, Aves, Galliformes, Phasianidae.
CAGGUGGGGCCUGGGCUGACUCCUCUGUGCUGCCUGGAGGCGGACGGAGCUGCAAAGCCGCGACAUUUCCAAUAGUAAACACAUCCACAGCGCGCUCCUUCAUGUGCCUUCCUGCCUUCUCUUUGUGUUUGGUCUCCGUCUCCCGGGAGCGGGGAAUGCAGCGUGUCUGAUAGACGCCAACCCCGCACAACGGAGCAGAACGCGGCUUCCUCCGGAUCAGAUGGCGCUGCGAUCGCAGGACGUUGAAGCGGCGAAGCGAGGAGGAAGGAGAUCGAUGGGCGGCCAUCUGGAGAGACCUGCAGCGGCGUCUCGGCCUGCAGCGAUGGAUGCGUGAUCUGCAGAGCGCCGUCCGUCCGUCCGUCCGCGUGCAGCACAGCGGGGGGUCCACGCGCCGUGGCCGCUCCGCUUCGCCCCAUCCCAGGGGCACCCCGCACCCCGUCAGCCCCGCACGCACAGCUGCUCGGAGGGCACCGGGACGCGCAGGCACUGCCAGCCGAACCGCGCCGCGAUGUCGCCGCUGGGUGAGCUGCGGGAAGGCCCCGCGUGUCCCUUUGGCCAGGCCGGGCUGCCCGCAGGGAGCGCUGAGUCCGCGCGUCCCCUGCCCUGAGCCGGCCCAGCACCGGCUGCGUCCCUGGGAUGCUCAGCCCUGAGCGCAGCGCUGCAGCCGAGCUGCUCCGAGCCAGCGGGGCGUAUUUCGGGAGGAAGUUCUCAUCUCUGAAGGUGCCCUUGAGCAGAUGAGUGAGAAAGUGAUGAACGGGCGGGUGCCCCUGCCUGAAAAAGCCUUGUCCGAGGGCUACGCGCGGCUGCGGUACCGGGACACGUCGCUGCUCAUCUGGCAGCAGCAGCAGCAGAAGUUGGAGUCGGCCCCCCCCAACACGUACCUGAGCCGAAGCCGCAGCAUGUGGUACUCACAGUACGGCAAUGAGGCCAUCCUGGUGCGGGACAAGAACAAGCUGGACGUCUCCAGGGACACGGGGCAGUCCAAGUUCUGUGCUAUCAUGUAAUAUUGUGUCCCAAAUCUGCACGUGGACACGAAGCAGGCUUGCACCAUCCCAACCGCAGGGCUGCGGCCAAAGCGGCGCACGGGAUGGGUCUGAGCGGCUGCUGGAGGUUCCUACUGCUUUGUGCUGUCGGUGGCAUCCCAUGUUGGGUGUUGUCGAGUGCGUGCAAUGGAAACUGGCUUGCUCGGGAUGUGGGAGCUGGCAGCGUCCAACUGGACCACGUGUUGCUGGGAUGGCUGUAGCAGAACUCCUGCCUGGGACAGAGAGCGUUGAGAACUCAUCUCAGCCUUCAGAGCACUUAGCAGGAAAGGAGCACUGCAGUUUCCCAGCAAAGUGCCCUUUCUGGUGCCGGUUUGGUGUUACGGAAACAAUUGACAGGUGGCACUUUUGGAGCCAAUGCAGCAGAGCCCCUCCGUAAGAAGAAAGCAGCACACAGCUCCUGGAGGGCACUCGGUGGGUGCUGCCUGCGGGCAGAGGUUGGCUGCAGGAGGAAGCAGCCUGCUGAGGGUUGCUCGGCGUUUCAGUUUUGUUGCAUGUGGUCGCUUGGAUGGAUUUAUGUGCUAAUUCUGGUUGGAUGACAUCUCAUUUGGUGCGCGCAUACUGUGUUUGACAGUGUUUGUUUCAGCCGAUGGAAUGCAAGGUCAGGCUGAGAACCCAGCCCAGCAAGCACCCAAACCUUUCUUAAGUACAAAGCAGCACCAUUUGCAGGGCUGUUAAUUGCGUGCCCAGCACUGCAGUGUAACACUGGGCUGAAGGCACAGCCCUGCCUGGACACCCCACCCAGCAGUGCUGGGACACGGGCUCAGCUCCAGGCAAUCCAGGACCUGGUGUUGACCUCAAGGUGGAUCAUUUACCCGCCUGAAGUCGGGCAUUCUGUUGUAUUUAUCCCAAACCUCUCCCUUUAAACAUCGUUCAAGCACUUUAUUUUAACACGGUGAAGAAGAACCUUCUCCCCCUCUCCCACGUGCGCUGAUUGCCAGAGCACAAAGGCACCGAGCAGCACACACCUGUGUUACCCUGAGACCACACCGAGGGGAUGCACUGCAAACCACGGGCAGCUGUUUGUAAUGUAACUAUUAAUGCAUGUGUGCGUGUUUGGUGCUGUGUGUGUGUGUGUGUGUGCUCGUAAAGCUAAACCUGCUGAGAUGGACCUCCGUGCUUCCCCCACCCGCGUGUCGCUCUGUGCAGAUGCUCCUCUUGAGCUCGACAGGACGAGCUGGGAAAUGUUAUGAUGCCGUUUGCUCAACCUGGGAAGCAGCACUCAGCACACGAGCUGGACUCAGGGAGCUGCCGGGUUGGGCAGAGCAGUGGGUGCUCCUAGCAGGGGGCUCACACAGUGCCCACGGAGCGCUGACUGCAGCCUGAGGAUGAGGGAGGGCAGCAGCACGUCCCCACCGCCCGCUGUUCCUUUUCUUUACUUUUCUUAUAGAAAAAGAAAAACCCACAUAGAUUUAUUUUUUUAAUUUGGGUAAGAAAGAUGGCGACGACCUCGGGUGUAAUCGGCCCCUUUUUGUUCACGUGGCUGCUAACCAAAAUUCAGUUGGAAGAGCUAUUGAGGAAUGGAAACUGAAGUGUGUGCCUGCGUCCUUCCAGGGUACGACAGCAUGGAGCGGUGUGACUCGUCCUUCCCCUCCAUCCCUGAGCGUGAGUGCAUUUUCCAUAGCCGAGUCCCCAUUAGUCACAGUAGCUUCGUGGAGUGGCUGCUAUGAAGUGAGCGUUGCUGCAAGCAGUGGUGUUAGAUGCACUUGUUGAAAAUGCUGCUGUAGCCUCUUGGAUAAAGUGCAUUAAAAGUGAUUUGAAUGCG